RNAcentral lists this ribosomal RNA (500 nucleotides) under uncultured Paraglomus. RNAcentral's name for it is "SSU rRNA". It matches the Rfam family "Eukaryotic small subunit ribosomal RNA", at positions 591 to 1092 of the family's 1831-position model. RNAcentral also lists the same sequence under 1 other name. The record is from RNAcentral. Lineage: Eukaryota; Fungi; Glomeromycota; Glomeromycetes; Paraglomerales; Paraglomeraceae.
CCAAUAGCGUAUAUUAAAGUUGUUGCAGUUAAAAAGCUCGUAGUUGAACUUCAGGCCUGUCCAGACGGUCCGCCUUAAUUGGUGUGUACUGUCCUUGGGUGGGUCCUACCUUCUGGCGAAGCGGCAUGGCCUUAAUUGGUUGUGUCGGGGAACCAGGACUUUUACUGUGAAAAAAUUAGAGUGUUCAAAGCAGGCAAAUAUGCUCGAAUACAUUAGCAUGGAAUAAUGGAAUAGGACGAUGGUUCUAUUUUGUUGGUUCUAGGACCGUUGUAAUGAUUAAUAGGGAUAGUUGGGGGCAUUAGUAUUCAAUUGUCAGAGGUGAAAUUCUUGGAUUUAUUGAAGACUAACUACUGCGAAAGCAUUUGCCAAGGAUGUUUUCAUUAAUCAAGAACGAAAGUUAGGGGAUCGAAGACGAUCAGAUACCGUCGUAGUCUUAACCAUAAACUAUGCCGACUAGGAAUCGGGCGAUGUUGACAAAAUGACUCGCUCGGCACCUCAUG